AUUUGAUAGUAAGUGAUAAAAAUAUCUAUCAGUGUAUACAUUUAUAUAAAAAUAUCACAGGAAGUAUAUUCAAAUAUACCGGUAACUUUUCUUAUUUGUGCCUAAAUGGGUUUCAAAUAUUGUGACCUGGUUGUCUAAAUAUAGUAUAAUAUGACUUUAAAUAAUUUUCUCCAGCUUUUCUGGUUUCUACAUUAUAUCUCAAAAAUAAUUCUACUGUUGACAUAAAAAGCUAAUUCUGAAUAAAUUUUUCCAUAAAUCUGAAUAAAUAACUUUAUAUAUAAUUCAUAGUGAAACCAAUAAGUAUAUGUAAAUCCUUGUAACUUCAUUCGUAACAUAUUUUAAUACCGUAUGUUGUUAUUUCAAAAUUAUAAAUGAACAAAUCAAAAACUAGAUAUGCCUUACUUGUUACCAAAUUCCAAAACUCCAUGAAAAUAAGGUAGUCCAAAACAAAAUGUGAACCUUGAUCUGUAAAUUCAUAUUUAUAAUGGGUUACACAUGUAUUAUGAAUAAACAAGAAUGUGUCCCUAGUACAUGAAUGCCCCAUCCACACUAUCAUUUUCUAUGUUCAGUGGAUGGUAAAAAUGGGGUAAAAAUUCUUAUUUGGCAUUAAAAGUAGAAAGAUCAUACCAUAGGGAACAUGUGUACUAAGUUUCAAGUUGACUGGACUUCAACUUCACCAAAAACUACCUCAACCAAAAACUUUAACCUGAAGUGGGACAGACCAGAAAACAUAAUGCAUAAAAAUGGGGCAUAAAAAUGUUUUCAAUAACUGCAGGCAUCAGGUCAAGUCAACAUUUGGACUUGGAAAUAUAAACGACCAAUGAGAAUAGAUAGCACUAUAUGUAUGUAUAUGCCCCUGACAAUAAGUGGUGGAGGAACAAAAAUAAAAGCGAUACUGAACUUUAAUUUGGUAAAACUGUCCAAAAUGCAUAUAAAUGUAUUAUCAAACAAACAAAAAUUGUAGAGCAUAAGUACUAAAUACAUGUAGUAUACAUAAAUCAUUGUGACCUAAAUACCAGCACUUUUUUCAAAUUCAGUCCAAAUAGUAUCAGAUUAACAUGAUCCUUAAACAUACAUUGAUUGAACAUUUUGUGGCAAGAAAAUGGCAAAGAUCACAAUGUAUAUCACAGAUACUAGCAUACAAUAUAUGUUAUGUUAUUCAAAAUUCAGAUAAAUAUUGUAACUUUUUAAAUGACAGCUGUUGAAUGAAAUCAAAAUUGCUAAAGUAAAAAUCCAGGAAAGGAAUUUUAA
Molecule: long non-coding RNA, 1251 nt
Filed under: Mytilus galloprovincialis (Mediterranean mussel)
Lineage: Eukaryota; Metazoa; Mollusca; Bivalvia; Mytilida; Mytilidae
Source: RNAcentral